GAUGAAGAACGUAGUGAAGUGCGAUAAGUAGUGUGAAUUGCAGAAUUCCGUGAAUCAUCGAAUCUUUGAACGCAAAUUGCACUCUCUGGUAUUCCGGAGAGUAUGCCUGUUUGAGGGUCGGUAAAAUAAUAAAUCGUCAUGUCGCUUUAUGACGGAGUUGGGUCUUCUUAAUCCUUUUGGGUUCAAGUGGCCUAAAAUUUAUUUAAAAAUUAUCUUUAGUAUGAUUGCGUACAUAGUAAUUUUGUCGCUUGAAAUAUUGAAGGUGAACCUAUUAGGCGUGACCAUUCUAUUGGAAUCGUGCCUAUAAUUUUCGAGAAACGACCUCAAAUCAGGUAGGAAGACCCGCUGAACUUAAGCAUAUCAAUAAGCGGAGGA
RNAcentral lists this unclassified non-coding RNA (375 nucleotides) under soil metagenome. Its description in RNAcentral is "partial contains 5.8S ribosomal RNA, internal transcribed spacer 2, and large subunit ribosomal RNA". The stretch from base 1 to 120 matches the Rfam family "5.8S ribosomal RNA", at positions 35 to 154 of the family's 154-position model. The record is from RNAcentral.